CCUCAUCCUAAGUCCCAGGACCCAGAGGCUGCAGUCUCAGGGCCCAGCGGUGGGUGACACCUGCCCACCAGGUGGACCUGGGGCGGGGAACCACUAGGAGCCACUAGGAUUCCUCUCUGGCGGGCCGCUGCCUGUGUCUUGGUAAAGGCAUUCGGGCUUUGCAAUUCUGGACCAAUGCGCUGUGCCCUGGGGAGGCGCAGCCCGCUUCAGGGCGGGCUCAGGGCUCUGGGCACGCAAGGGCCCUCUGCAGAGAGGACGCACGGGCUUUGGGGCGCUUGGACUCCGCUUGUGCAGGGCCCGUGGGGCCGCGGGCAGGUCGCCCGCCACCAGAAUCUCAGCGAGUUUCCAGUUUCCCGGAACCUCCGGAGGGAACCAAGGAGCAGAAGGAGUUCAGUAUACACACCUCCCUGGGGCAGACUGUCAGCCUGCAUAAUCAACGUCGCCUCGGCGCUAGAGGAAACUUCCAGAGAACCACUUCCUUGUCCUCGGAAAAAGAAGCUAGCGGUCUCAGGAAUUGCAGAUCAUUAUCUUUCCAUCACCAGGAAGGUAGAGCCCAAUAAACAAAGUUCCUCCAUCAAAAACGACAGCACAGAGAAGACUAGAAACCCGGUUCUUCAUGGUGUCAUUGAACCACUGACUCAAAUCGGCUCUGAAGUAAAGCCCACAUUACCACUUCUUGGAUGAAUACAAGCGGAAAAUCAGGAUUGCUCACCAAGGGAAGUAGCUGUGAUGCAAUGAAAGCAAAAUACUAUUAUUAAAUGUUAAAAAUAAGCAACAGGGGAUCCCUGGAUGGCUCAGCGGUUUAGUCCUGCCUUCAGCCCAGGGCGUGGUCCUGGAGUCUCAGGAUCCAGUCCCACGUCGGGCUCCCUGUGUGGAGCCUGCUUCUCUCUCUGCCUAUGUCUCUGAGUCUCUCUCUCUCUCUCUCUCUGUGUCUCUCAUGAAUAAAUAAAUAAAACCUUAAAAAAAUAAAAAGAAA
This 976-nucleotide long non-coding RNA is filed under the name Canis lupus dingo (dingo). RNAcentral's name for it is "lncRNA (ENSCAFG00020016553.1)". The record is from RNAcentral. Lineage: Eukaryota; Metazoa; Chordata; Mammalia; Carnivora; Canidae.